RNAcentral lists this ribosomal RNA (641 nucleotides) under Anaplasma phagocytophilum. RNAcentral describes it as "bacterial SSU rRNA". It matches the Rfam family "Bacterial small subunit ribosomal RNA", at positions 815 to 1456 of the family's 1533-position model. The record is from RNAcentral. Lineage: Bacteria; Pseudomonadati; Pseudomonadota; Alphaproteobacteria; Rickettsiales; Anaplasmataceae. RNAcentral also lists the same sequence under 1 other name.
GCUGAAUGUGGGGAUAAUUUAUCUCCGUGUUGUAGCUAACGCGUUAAGCACUCCGCCUGGGGACUACGGUCGCAAGACUAAAACUCAAAGGAAUUGACGGGGACCCGCACAAGCGGUGGAGCAUGUGGUUUAAUUCGAUGCAACGCGAAAAACCUUACCACUCCUUGACAUGGAGAUUAGAUCCUUCUUAACGGAAGGGCGCAGUUCGGCUGGAUCUCGCACAGGUGCUGCAUGGCUGUCGUCAGCUCGUGUCGUGAGAUGUUGGGUUAAGUCCCGCAACGAGCGUAACCCUCAUCCUUAGUUGCCAGCGGGUAAGCCGGGCACUUUAAGGAAACUGCCGGUGGUAAACCGGAGGAAGGUGGGGAUGAUGUCAAGUCAGCACGGCCCUUAUGGGGUGGGCUACACACGUGCUACAAUGGUGACUACAAUAGGUUGCAAUGUCGCAAGGCUGAGCUAAUCCGUAAAAGUCAUCUCAGUUCGGAUUGUCCUCUGCAACUCGAGGGCAUGAAGUCGGAAUCGCUAGUAAUCGUGGAUCAGCAUGCCACGGUGAAUACGUUCUCGGGUCUUGUACACACUGCCCGUCACGCCAUGGGAAUUGGCUUAACUCGAAGCUGGUGCGCUAACCGAAAGGAAGCAGCCAU